GAUGAACGCUGGCGGCGUGCCUAAUACAUGCAAGUCGAGCGAACAGACGAGGAGCUUGCUCCUCUGACGUUAGCGGCGGACGGGUGAGUAACACGUGGAUAACCUACCUAUAAGACUGGGAUAACUUCGGGAAACCGGAGCUAAUACCGGAUAAUAUAUUGAACCGCAUGGUUCAAUAGUGAAAGACGGUUUUGCUGUCACUUAUAGAUGGAUCCGCGCCGCAUUAGCUAGUUGGUAAGGUAACGGCUUACCAAGGCAACGAUGCGUAGCCGACCUGAGAGGGUGAUCGGCCACACUGGAACUGAGACACGGUCCAGCCUCCUACGGGAGGCAGCAGUAGGGAAUCUUCCGCAGUGGGCGAAAGCCUGACGGAGCAACGCCGCGUGAGUGAUGAAGGUCUUCGGAUCGUAAAACUCUGUUAUUAGGGAAGAACAAAUGUGUAAGUAACUAUGCACGUCUUGACGGUACCUAAUCAGAAAGCCACGGCUAACUACGU
Molecule: ribosomal RNA, 496 nt
Filed under: uncultured bacterium
Lineage: Bacteria
Description: partial 16S ribosomal RNA
Rfam family: Bacterial small subunit ribosomal RNA
Source: RNAcentral